AGUGAACGCUGGCGGUAGGCCUAACACACGCAAGUCGAACGGCAGCACAGUAAGAGCUUGCUCUUACGGGUGGCGAGUGGCGGACGGGUGAGGAAUACAUCGGAAUCUACUUUUUCGUGGGGGAUAACGUAGGGAAACUUACGCUAAUACCGCAUACGACCUACGGGUGAAAGCAGGGGAUCUUCGGACCUUGCGCGAUUGAAUGAGCCGAUGUCGGAUUAGCUAGUUGGCGGGGUAAAGGCCCACCAAGGCGACGAUCCGUAGCUGGUCUGAGAGGAUGAUCAGCCACACUGGAACUGAGACACGGUCCAGACUCCUACGGGAGGCAGCAGUGGGGAAUAUUGGACAAUGGGCGCAAGCCUGAUCCAGCCAUACCGCGUGGGUGAAGAAGGCCUUCGGGUUGUAAAGCCCUUUUGUUGGGAAAGAAAAGCAGCAGGUUAAUACCCCGCUGUUCUGACGGUACCCAAAGAAUAAGCACCGGAUAACUUCGUG
RNAcentral lists this ribosomal RNA (492 nucleotides) under uncultured bacterium. RNAcentral's name for it is "partial 16S ribosomal RNA". It matches the Rfam family "Bacterial small subunit ribosomal RNA", at positions 29 to 507 of the family's 1533-position model. The record is from RNAcentral.